GACGAGGUAGCUCAACCGGCAGAGCAAUGGACUCAUAAGCCAUUGGUUGAGGGUUCGAGUCCCUCCCUCGUCA
Molecule: transfer RNA, 73 nt
Filed under: Anaerolineae bacterium
Lineage: Bacteria; Bacillati; Chloroflexota; Anaerolineae
Description: tRNA-Met
Rfam family: tRNA
About the family: Transfer RNA (tRNA) molecules are approximately 80 nucleotides in length.
Source: RNAcentral